RNAcentral lists this ribosomal RNA (1534 nucleotides) under Salmonella enterica subsp. enterica serovar Newport str. SL254. RNAcentral's name for it is "bacterial SSU rRNA". It matches the Rfam family "Bacterial small subunit ribosomal RNA". Lineage: Bacteria; Pseudomonadati; Pseudomonadota; Gammaproteobacteria; Enterobacterales; Enterobacteriaceae. The record is from RNAcentral.
AGAGUUUGAUCAUGGCUCAGAUUGAACGCUGGCGGCAGGCCUAACACAUGCAAGUCGAACGGUAACAGGAAGCAGCUUGCUGCUUCGCUGACGAGUGGCGGACGGGUGAGUAAUGUCUGGGAAACUGCCUGAUGGAGGGGGAUAACUACUGGAAACGGUGGCUAAUACCGCAUAACGUCGCAAGACCAAAGAGGGGGACCUUCGGGCCUCUUGCCAUCAGAUGUGCCCAGAUGGGAUUAGCUAGUUGGUGAGGUAACGGCUCACCAAGGCGACGAUCCCUAGCUGGUCUGAGAGGAUGACCAGCCACACUGGAACUGAGACACGGUCCAGACUCCUACGGGAGGCAGCAGUGGGGAAUAUUGCACAAUGGGCGCAAGCCUGAUGCAGCCAUGCCGCGUGUAUGAAGAAGGCCUUCGGGUUGUAAAGUACUUUCAGCGGGGAGGAAGGUGUUGUGGUUAAUAACCACAGCAAUUGACGUUACCCGCAGAAGAAGCACCGGCUAACUCCGUGCCAGCAGCCGCGGUAAUACGGAGGGUGCAAGCGUUAAUCGGAAUUACUGGGCGUAAAGCGCACGCAGGCGGUCUGUCAAGUCGGAUGUGAAAUCCCCGGGCUCAACCUGGGAACUGCAUUCGAAACUGGCAGGCUUGAGUCUUGUAGAGGGGGGUAGAAUUCCAGGUGUAGCGGUGAAAUGCGUAGAGAUCUGGAGGAAUACCGGUGGCGAAGGCGGCCCCCUGGACAAAGACUGACGCUCAGGUGCGAAAGCGUGGGGAGCAAACAGGAUUAGAUACCCUGGUAGUCCACGCCGUAAACGAUGUCUACUUGGAGGUUGUGCCCUUGAGGCGUGGCUUCCGGAGCUAACGCGUUAAGUAGACCGCCUGGGGAGUACGGCCGCAAGGUUAAAACUCAAAUGAAUUGACGGGGGCCCGCACAAGCGGUGGAGCAUGUGGUUUAAUUCGAUGCAACGCGAAGAACCUUACCUGGUCUUGACAUCCACAGAACUUUCCAGAGAUGGAUUGGUGCCUUCGGGAACUGUGAGACAGGUGCUGCAUGGCUGUCGUCAGCUCGUGUUGUGAAAUGUUGGGUUAAGUCCCGCAACGAGCGCAACCCUUAUCCUUUGUUGCCAGCGAUUAGGUCGGGAACUCAAAGGAGACUGCCAGUGAUAAACUGGAGGAAGGUGGGGAUGACGUCAAGUCAUCAUGGCCCUUACGACCAGGGCUACACACGUGCUACAAUGGCGCAUACAAAGAGAAGCGACCUCGCGAGAGCAAGCGGACCUCAUAAAGUGCGUCGUAGUCCGGAUUGGAGUCUGCAACUCGACUCCAUGAAGUCGGAAUCGCUAGUAAUCGUGGAUCAGAAUGCCACGGUGAAUACGUUCCCGGGCCUUGUACACACCGCCCGUCACACCAUGGGAGUGGGUUGCAAAAGAAGUAGGUAGCUUAACCUUCGGGAGGGCGCUUACCACUUUGUGAUUCAUGACUGGGGUGAAGUCGUAACAAGGUAACCGUAGGGGAACCUGCGGUUGGAUCACCUCCUU